Molecule: ribosomal RNA, 446 nt
Filed under: uncultured bacterium
Lineage: Bacteria
Description: bacterial SSU rRNA
Rfam family: Bacterial small subunit ribosomal RNA
Source: RNAcentral
CCAGACUCCUACGGGAGGCAGCAGUGGGGAAUAUUGCACAAUGGGGGAAACCCUGAUGCAGCGACGCCGCGUGAGUGAAGAAGUAUUUCGGUAUGUAAAGCUCUAUCAGCAGGGAAGAAGAAGGACGGUACCUGAGUAAGAAGCCCCGGCUAACUACGUGCCAGCAGCCGCGGUAAUACGUAGGGGGCAAGCGUUAUCCGGAAUUACUGGGUGUAAAGGGAGAGUAGGCGGCAAGGUAAGCGAUAUGUGAAAGCCUUAAGCUUAACUUAAGGAUGGCAUAACGAACUAUCUAGCUAGAGUACAGGAGAGGAAAGCGGAAUUCCUAGUGUAGCGGUGAAAUGCGUAGAUAUUAGGAGGAACACCAGUGGCGAAGGCGGCUUACUGGACUGUAACUGACGUUGAGGCUCGAAAGCGUGGGGAGCAAACAGGAUUAGAUACCCUGGUAG